RNAcentral lists this unclassified non-coding RNA (408 nucleotides) under Hevea brasiliensis (rubber tree). Lineage: Eukaryota; Viridiplantae; Streptophyta; Magnoliopsida; Malpighiales; Euphorbiaceae. The record is from RNAcentral.
CCCUCCACUAACAGUAGUUGGAUAGUUCCAAUCUGGGAGUCAUAACUCAUAAUACUGACCAGUACUCUUACGGAAAGCCUCGAUAAGUUCAGUAACCCUCUUUUGCUUGACUUAAUCAGCAACAUCAUCAACAUAGUUCCCGUGGGCAUGGAUCUUUUUCUUCAUGCUAUAUGCAAACAUGUAUGCCAUAUCAUAACCAACAGCCCUGAUAAGACUUAUUGUGUCUUUGUGUUCCUCUUCUGUUUCUCCACAGAAACGUCCACGAAGUCGUUGUAGUCCUUUCACCAUAAGAAGAAAUCCACCUUACAUCAUAUUAGGGUUACGCUUUGCUUCUCUCACCCCUCCAUGCACAACAUCCCCUCCUUUGCUGAACCUUCAAGUGUUCCACAUAUAACAUCACUGCUAAUC